RNAcentral lists this ribosomal RNA (249 nucleotides) under Triticum aestivum (bread wheat). RNAcentral describes it as "partial small subunit ribosomal RNA". The record is from RNAcentral. Lineage: Eukaryota; Viridiplantae; Streptophyta; Magnoliopsida; Poales; Poaceae.
AUGGUGAUGAUGGGGCAGCUGGGGAGGCUGGUGGACGGGCUGAGGUCCAAGAUGAGGGCCGGCGGCGGGAAGAAGGGGGCGGGGAAGAAGGCGGCGGCGGCGGCGGCGUACGAGCAGAUGGGGAAGACGGAGAGCAUGAGGGUGGAGAUCAAGAGCCGGCAGGCGCAGAAGCUCAUCGCCAAGAACCUCGUCGCCGCCGACUCCAUAGGCCGCAGGAGCAGGAACAAGCGCUUCUUCCUCGCCUUCUAG